UUUCCGUUGGUGAACCAGCGGAGGGAUCAUUACCAGAGUCUCACAAUUCCCAACCCUACCGUGAACUUACCUCUCGUUGUUUCGGCGGACUCGUCCCAGCGUCUGGACGGCCCCGUCUUGGCUCGCGUCUUGGACCUAGGCGGCCGAUGGAGACCACACAUUCCCGUAUCACCCAGUCUCUCUGAUUCUGCCGCCAGGCCAAACAAAAGAAUCAAAACUUUCAACAAUGGAUCUUUCGGUUUUGGUAUCGAUGAAGAACGCAGCAGUAUGGUCGAGCAC
RNAcentral lists this unclassified non-coding RNA (279 nucleotides) under plant metagenome. RNAcentral's name for it is "partial contains small subunit ribosomal RNA, internal transcribed spacer 1, and 5.8S ribosomal RNA". The record is from RNAcentral.